Molecule: ribosomal RNA, 491 nt
Filed under: uncultured bacterium
Lineage: Bacteria
Description: partial 16S ribosomal RNA
Rfam family: Bacterial small subunit ribosomal RNA
Source: RNAcentral
ACUCAAAUGAAUAGACGGGGACCCGCACAACCGGUGGAGCGUGUGGUUCAAUUCGAGACAAAACGAAAAACCUCACCAGGGCUUGACAUGCAAUCGUACAUUCUCUAAGAAACUAGAGGAAAUCCGCAAGGAUGAUUGCACAGGUGCUGCAUGGCUGUCGUCAGCUCGUGCCGUGAGGUGUUCCCUUAAGUGGGGAAACGAGCGCAACCCCCAUCCAAUGUUAAAUAUUCAUUGGAGACUGUCCCGGCAUUUGUCGGGGAGGAAGGAGGGGAAGACGUCAAGUCAGCACGGCCCUUAUGCCCUGGGCUACACACACACUACAAUGGCGAAGAACAACGGGUUGCAAGCUAGUAAUAGUAAGCCAAUCCCUAAAAUUUCGCCUCAGUUCAGAUUGGGGGCUGAAAUUCGCCCCCAUGAAGUCGGAAUCGGUAGUAAUCGCGGAUCAGCAUGCCGCGGUGAAUACGUUCUCGGGUCUUGUACACACCGCCCGU